CCUCUGUCUCUGUCCACCACCCCCCACCCAAAAAAGAGAAGAAGAAUGUUAUUUUGUGGAGAUGGAGGAAAUUGGGAGAAGUCGUUUUGAAUGGAAGUCCAUUGGAGAAAUGGAGUUCAGGAUGAGGGAGAGAGGGGUUGAGGAGGUACAGAGGAGGGGAGAGAAAAUCUUACGCAGUCUCCAUGCCCAGCACAGAGCCCGACACAUCUCACAACCCUGAGAUCAUGACCUCUACUGAAAUCAAGAGUUGGAUGCUUAACUGACGGAGCCAGCCAGGUGACCCUAGUACAUGAUCCUUU
Molecule: long non-coding RNA, 299 nt
Filed under: Mustela putorius furo (domestic ferret)
Lineage: Eukaryota; Metazoa; Chordata; Mammalia; Carnivora; Mustelidae
Description: lncRNA (ENSMPUG00000029782.1)
Source: RNAcentral